GAUGAAGAACUCAGCGAAAUGCGAUAAGUAAUGUGAAUUGCAGAAUUCAGUGAAUCAUCGAAUCUUUGAACGCACAUUGCGCCCCCUGGUAUUCCGGGGGGCAUGCCUGUUCGAGCGUCAUUUCACCACUCAAGCCUCGCUUGGUAUUGGGCAACGCGGUCCGCCGCGUGCCUCAAAUCGACCGGCUGGGUCUUCUGUCCACUAAGCGUUGUGGAAACUUUCGCUAAAGGGUGUUCGGGAGGCUACGCCGUAAAACAACCCCAUUUCUAAGGUUGACCUCGGAUCAGGUAGGGAUACCCGCUGAACUUAAGCAUAUCAAUAAGCGGAGGA
This 330-nucleotide unclassified non-coding RNA is filed under the name soil metagenome. RNAcentral describes it as "partial contains 5.8S ribosomal RNA, internal transcribed spacer 2, and large subunit ribosomal RNA". The stretch from base 1 to 120 matches the Rfam family "5.8S ribosomal RNA", at positions 35 to 154 of the family's 154-position model. The record is from RNAcentral.